Molecule: ribosomal RNA, 242 nt
Filed under: uncultured bacterium
Lineage: Bacteria
Description: partial 16S ribosomal RNA
Rfam family: Bacterial small subunit ribosomal RNA
Source: RNAcentral
CGACCGGCGCACGGGUGAGUAACGCGUAUCCAACCUUCCGUACACUCAGGGAUAGCCUUUCGAAAGAAAGAUUAAUACCUGAUGGUAUGAUGAGAUUGCAUGAUAGCAUCAUUAAAGAUUUAUCGGUGUACGAUGGGGAUGCGUUCCAUUAGGUAGUAGGCGGGGUAACGGCCCACCUAGCCAACGAUGGAUAGGGGUUCUGAGAGGAAGGUCCCCCACAUUGGAACUGAGACACGGUCCAA